Molecule: ribosomal RNA, 492 nt
Filed under: uncultured bacterium
Lineage: Bacteria
Description: partial 16S ribosomal RNA
Rfam family: Bacterial small subunit ribosomal RNA
Source: RNAcentral
AGUGAACGCUGGCGGUAGGCCUAACACAUGCAAGUCGAACGGCAGCACAGUAAGAGCUUGCUCUUACGGGUGGCGAGUGGCGGACGGGUGAGGAAUACAUCGGAAUCUACUUUUUCGUGGGGGAUAACGUAGGGAAACUUACGCUAAUACCGCAUACGACCUACGGGUGAAAGCAGGGGAUCUUCGGACCUUGCGCGAUUGAAUGAGCCGAUGUCGGAUUAGCUAGUUGGCGGGGUAAAGGCCCACCAAGGCGACGAUCCGUAGCUGGUCUGAGAGGAUGAUCAGCCACACUUGAACUUAGACACGGUCCAGACUCCUACGGGAGGCAGCAGUGGGGAAUAUUGGACAAUGGGCGGAAGCCUGAUCCAGCCAUACCGCGUGGGUGAAGAAGGCCUUCGGGUUGUAAAGCCCUUUUGUUGGGAAAGAAAAGCAGCAGGUUAAUACCCCGCUGUUCUGACGGUACCCAAAGAAUAAGCACCGGCUAACUUCGUG